Long non-coding RNA from Galeopterus variegatus (Sunda flying lemur), 322 nucleotides. RefSeq lists it as uncharacterized. The transcript has 2 exons. The record is from RefSeq and is a predicted model, not a curated record. Lineage: Eukaryota; Metazoa; Chordata; Mammalia; Dermoptera; Cynocephalidae.
CCCUUCCGUUAGUGCAGUCGCUCUUCAGGCCCGUCAGUUGCAGCAGCGACCAUGGGUGCGUUAAGAUUUUGCACGCAGGGUUGUUUCAGGCCUGCUGUGCUGCCUCACUUCUUUCCCCUUGUCUAUUGUUUGAAAAUAUAAAUUUAAAGAACAUGUGCGUAAGGGGGUGGGAGUGUGGAGGUGUGUGUUUGGGAGAAGGGAGUGACUAGAGUGGCUCAAUGGUAAAGACCAUCCUGGAAAAUCAUAACAUUGGUGUCACUCUGCCUCGUACCACAAGUCUUCAGGAUUAUGUUGACAAAUAAAAAACUUUUAGUAGCAGCGA